RNAcentral lists this ribosomal RNA (586 nucleotides) under uncultured bacterium. RNAcentral's name for it is "partial 16S ribosomal RNA". It matches the Rfam family "Bacterial small subunit ribosomal RNA", at positions 355 to 1375 of the family's 1533-position model. The record is from RNAcentral.
UGGGGAAUUUUGGACAAUGGGCGAAAGCCUGAUCCAGCAAUGCCGCGUGUGUGAAGAAGGCCUUCGGGUUGUAAAGCACUUUUGUCCGGAAAGAAAUCCUUGGCUCUAAUACAGUCGGGGGAUGACGGUACCGGAAGAAUAAGCACCGGCUAACUACGUGCCAGCAGCCGCGGUAAUACGUAGGGUGCAAGCGUUAAUCGGAAUUACUGGGCGUAAAGCGUGCGCAGGCGGUUUGCUAAGACCGAUGUGAAAUCCCCGGGCUCAACCUGGGAACUGCAUUGGUGACUGGCAGGCUAGAGUAUGGCAGAGGGGGGUAGAAUUCCACGUGUAGCAGUGAAAUGCGUAGAGAUGUGGAGGAAUACCGAUGGCGAAGGCAGCCCCCUGGGCCAAAUACUGACGCUCAUGCACGAAAAGCGUGGGGAGCAAAACAGGAUUAGAUACCCUGGUAGUCCACGCCCUAAACGAUGUCAACUAGUUGUGGGGAUUCAUUUCCUAGUAACGUAGCUAACGCGUGAAGUUGACCGCCUGGGGAGUACGGUCGCAAGAUUAAAACUCAAAGGAAUUGACGGGGUCAUAGCUGUUUCCU